ACUAACUGACUUGAUAGUAUGGGCAACUAUACUAUUCUUGAAACUUUAACAAAAAAACUAUAAAUCAAUUUAUGGUUGAUAAAAACUUAAAUUUUCAACGAUGGAUGUCUUGGCUCCCAUAUCGAUGAAGAACGCAGCUAGAAUGCGAUAUGCAAUGUGAAUUGCAGAACCACGAAUCAUCGGAUCUUUGAACGCGACUGGCGCUGCCUUUAAAAGCAGCAUACUUGUUUCAGUGUGCGCAAACAAAUCAAAAAUUAAAAUGUGAGAGAAGUUCUCUCAUGAAAUAAAUGCUCCCUGCAGCAGUCAGAUUUAUUUCUGAGCUGUGCGGAAAAAAAAUGACUUAUUUGCACCUGAGAUCAAGUAAGAAGACCCGCUGGACUUAAGCAUAUUACUAAGCGGAGGAGAAGAAAUUAACAAAGAUUGCCUCAGUAAGGGCGACUGAACCGGCAAGAGCUCAAAAUUAAAAUCGAGAAUUCAAUGAAUUUUCGAAUUGUAAUCAGUUUUGCCUAAAUACGAGAGUUCGUUUAAUGACGUCGAAACGUCGGCCAGGGAGGGUGAAAGCCCCGUGUAGCGUUCUCUCGAGUAAGGUAAAGCAAACAAGAGUCGGGUUGCUUGGAACUGCAGCCCUAAGCGGGAGAUAUGAUUCUUCCAAAGCUAAAUAUGGAUGGGAGACCGAUAGCGAACAAGUACUGUGAAGGAAAGAUGAAAAGGACUUUGAAAAGAGAGUGAAAAGAUCUGAAAUCGUUGAGAAGGAAGCGGAAGAAACUGAUGGUCGUGCUGAUAGAUAUCGCGGCGUACAGCUGCGUAGUUCUUACCAGAGCGACGGGCAAAUUGAAUUCGAUUGCGUCAAAAAAGGCUUCAGCCGUGAAGGGCGUAAUCGGAUUGAGGGACUAUUGUGAAUUUGCCAAAAUGGUUUUUACCGUCCCGUCUUGAAACACGGACC
RNAcentral lists this ribosomal RNA (943 nucleotides) under Spathidium simplinucleatum. RNAcentral's name for it is "eukaryotic LSU rRNA". The stretch from base 347 to 943 matches the Rfam family "Eukaryotic large subunit ribosomal RNA", at positions 1 to 667 of the family's 3401-position model. The record is from RNAcentral. Lineage: Eukaryota; Ciliophora; Litostomatea; Haptorida; Spathidiidae.